This 235-nucleotide ribosomal RNA is filed under the name uncultured bacterium. Its description in RNAcentral is "partial 16S ribosomal RNA". It matches the Rfam family "Bacterial small subunit ribosomal RNA", at positions 96 to 334 of the family's 1533-position model. The record is from RNAcentral.
UGGCGGACGGGUGAGUAAUGUCUGGGAAACUGCCUGAUGGAGGGGGAUAACUACUGGAAACGGUAGCUAAUACCGCAUAACGUCGCAAGACCAAAGAGGGGGACCUUCGGGCCUCUUGCCAUCGGAUGUGCCCAGAUGGGAUUAGCUAGUAGGUGGGGUAACGGCUCACCUAGGCGACGAUCCCUAGCUGGUCUGAGAGGAUGACCAGCCACACUGGGACUGAGACACGGUCCAG